ACAAAAUCAUAAUAUAGAUUCCAUUCUGAAAUUGUGGAGUGUUGUAAUCGUGAUAAUAUUUAUCUAUCAAUAUUUAUAUUUACAUCAGUGUCACAAUUUUGAAAUUUAAAUCAUUGUGUUAGUUAAAAAAAAAAUAAUAUAUAAUUUAUUUUCAACAGAUUCUUUGCUGGAAUGUAUCAAACAUAAUUAUAACAGUCUAUCAAAACAAUUAGCAAAUUUAAAAGGCCAUAUCUGCUGACGUUCCCAAAUCCUAUCUGAAAUAAAAAAAUAACAGUACUCAGCUGUUAGAGUUCAGUUUAUUAACAGAUCCUGAAGGAAAUCCAGUGGUCCAAAAAUUAGAAUUUCCGCUAUCAACAAUGGAAGAUAUUAUUUUGAUAAAUGCAAUGAAAAAUUAAAAGGCCAAAAAUAUAAAAAAAAAAUGAAUAAACGUAUAUAUACUUUUCUCUUGAUGGAAAAAAUACUUUUACCCGUAAUAUGGGAAAUAUUACUCGUGUUUAUAUAUCAAGAGAUGUCAUAUGUAGCGGUUAAAGCAACUUCAAAAAAAAGUUUUCAAAGAUACGACUUUUUCACUUCUAUAAAAAGUAUGUUAAUCAUUAUAUAGUGCAGAAUUACUAUCAUUGAUACCUAAUUAAUUAUUUCUUAA
Melitaea cinxia (Glanville fritillary) is the source of this 643-nucleotide long non-coding RNA. RefSeq lists it as uncharacterized. Lineage: Eukaryota; Metazoa; Arthropoda; Insecta; Lepidoptera; Nymphalidae. The record is from RefSeq and is a predicted model, not a curated record. The transcript is spliced from 2 exons.